RNAcentral lists this ribosomal RNA (432 nucleotides) under uncultured bacterium. Its description in RNAcentral is "partial 16S ribosomal RNA". It matches the Rfam family "Bacterial small subunit ribosomal RNA", at positions 29 to 507 of the family's 1533-position model. The record is from RNAcentral.
ACGCACGCUGGCGGCAUGCCUAACACAUGCCAGUCGCACGAGACCUUCGGGUCUAGUGGCGCACGGGUGCGUAACGCGUGGGAACCUGCCCUUAGGUUCGGAAUAACUCCCCGAAAGGGGUGCUAAUACCGGAUAAUGUCUUCGGACCAAAGAUUUAUCGCCUUUGGAUGGGCCCGCGUUGGAUUAGCUAGUUGGCAGGGUAAAAGCCUACCAAGGCGACGAUCCAUAGCUGGUCUGAGAGGAUGAUCAGCCACACUGGGACUGAGACACGGCCCAGACUCCUACGGGAAGCAGCAGUGGGGAAUAUUGGACAAUGGGCGAAAGCCUGAUCCAGCAAUGCCGCGUGAGUGAUGAAGGCCUUAGGGUUGUAAAGCUCUUUUACCCGGGAUGAUAAUGACAGUACCGGGAGAAUAAGCUCCGGCUAACUCCGUG